UUGUUAGAUAAUAAUUAACUUCUACUGCCUUUGCGAAAGGGGUCCCACUUCUGGACUUGUGCAAAGCUGCCACGUGGGCUAACCCUUCGACAUUUGUUCAGCACUACAAGCUCGAUACGGAGUCGUUCCGACUGUUGAUUCGGCAGAGCUGUCCUCUCAUCAGUGUUACAGUAGGACACCUUAUCCUCCACCGAUUGGUUUCGGUCUCAAGGAAAUGAGGAUUAGGGCGGGAAUGCUGGAGUACCACAGUUACAGGUGCCAGUUUAAUAUACCUUUACAGUGCAGUCCAAUACAAGUCUACCCAGAAGCAAAUUCCACUGUGUUCAAUGGGACUUACGCACAGAACAAAAAAUAUUGAAGAAAUCAAGUCACAUUCCUCUGUGCGCACAGUUACGGAACAAACAGCAAAACUGGCUUCCCCCAACUUCAAACAUGAUGUAUCGCAGCUACUGCCAUGCGAAUGGUCCCCGGAACAAGGACUGUGAUUGACCAGUAGGGUUUGCAAUUCCAAUCC
This is a long non-coding RNA of Elgaria multicarinata webbii, 514 nucleotides long. RefSeq lists it as uncharacterized. Lineage: Eukaryota; Metazoa; Chordata; Lepidosauria; Squamata; Anguidae. The transcript has 5 exons. The record is from RefSeq and is a predicted model, not a curated record.